This 1018-nucleotide small RNA is filed under the name Candidatus Phytoplasma vitis. RNAcentral describes it as "bacterial SSU rRNA". The stretch from base 1 to 743 matches the Rfam family "Bacterial small subunit ribosomal RNA", at positions 771 to 1533 of the family's 1533-position model. Lineage: Bacteria; Bacillati; Mycoplasmatota; Mollicutes; Acholeplasmatales; Acholeplasmataceae. The record is from RNAcentral.
AACAGGAUUAGAUACCCUGGUAGUCCACGCUGUAAACGAUGAGUACUAAUGUCGGGGUAACUCGGUACUGAAGUUAACACAUUAAGUACUCCGCCUGAUAGUACGUACGCAAGUAUGAAACUUAAAGGAAUUGACGGGACUCCGCACAGCGGUGGAUCAUGUUGUUUAAUUCGAAGAUACACGAAAAACCUUACCAGUCUUGACAUACUCUGCAAAGCUAUAGAAAUAUAGUGGAGGUUAUCAGGAUACAGGUGGUGCAUGGUUGUCGUCAGUUCGUGUCGUGAGAUGUUAGGUAAGUCCUAAAACGAACGCAACCCCUGUCGCUAGUUGCCAGCACGUAAUGUGGGGACUUUAGCGAGACUGCCAAUUAAACAUUGGAGGAAGGUGGGGAUACGUCAAAUCAUCAUGCCCCUUAUGAUCUGGGCUACAAACGUGAUACAAGGCUAUUACAAAGAGUAGCUGAAACGCGAGUUUUUAGCCAAUCUCAAAAGGUAGUCUCAGUACGGAUUGAAGUCUGCAACUCGACUUCAUGAAGCUGGAUCGCUAGUAAUCGCGAAUCAGCAUGUCGCGGUGAAUACGUUCUCGGGGUUGUACACACCGCCCGUCAAACCACGAAAGUUAGCAAUACCCGAAAGCAUGGCUUAACUUCGAAAGAAGAGGGAGCUGUCUAAGGUAGGGUUGAUGAUGGGGUUAAGUCGUAACAAGGUAUCCUUACCGGAAGGUGAGGAUGGAUCACUCCUUUCUAAGGACAUACAUAUAAAAAUCAUCAUCUUCAGUUUUGAAAACUUAGGUUAAAAUAUAAGUUUUUCUUUUUAUAAAAAAAGUGUUUCUCUAUAUAAAAGACCAAAGGGCCUAUAGCUCAGUUGGUUAGAGCACACGCCUAUAAGCGUGAGGUCGGUGGUUCAAGUCCACUUAGGCCCACCAAUUUUAUUCAGGAAAAUAUUUACUUCGAAGAAAGUUCUUUGAAAAGUAGAUAAACAGAUUUGCUUAAUUCAAUUAAUUUUGAAGAAAGUAAGGG